Molecule: long non-coding RNA, 686 nt
Filed under: Linum usitatissimum (flax)
Lineage: Eukaryota; Viridiplantae; Streptophyta; Magnoliopsida; Malpighiales; Linaceae
Description: long non-coding RNA (LUSI_LNC007688)
Source: RNAcentral
AUGUAUCUUUCCUCCUCUACCUUCCAGACCGUCAGCAACCCAGUCACCACCCAGGCUGGAACGGGCAGCAGGCUGGCUCUCAACGUCACCACGUCCGGGAAUUCUGUCAACAUUACCACGGGGAUGACCAACACAAGCGUGUCGGGCACUGUUUACACUGACGGCCAGCUGGCUGUGUACCAGGUUGACCAGGUACUGCUCCCAGUUGACCUGUUUACCCCGAAGCCGCCAGCACCGGCUCCUGCGCCGGAGAAGGCGAAAAAGAAGAAGAAGGCGGAGGAAGAUGCAGCGGACAGUCCUGGGGGAGUGGCCAAGGAUAAGUCCGGUGGAGGGAGGUUUGUGGUUAUGAAUUGGGUGCUAGUUGGGGUUGGGGUUUCGGUUUCAGCGAUGUCGUUGUGACAAAAGGAAGUUUAUGAUCAAGUAUUUUGGUAAUGAAUGGAGAGCCCAACGCUACUUUGUGUUCUCUUCUUUAUCUUCUUUCUUGCUUCUCCUUUUCUGGAUUUGUUCGAGUGACAAAAGUUGUAUUAUUUUGUGUUACGGUUUGAUUAAUGGUUUGGUCGGUUGGUUGGUUUUUCGGGGCACAAAACUCAAUCUCUCUUAGCUUUGUUAAAUUAGAUUAGACGAAAAAAACACUAUCGUCUACGUGGUUAAUAGCAACAUAACAUGGACGUAAUUUCCGAUUUAAU